UUUUGGGCAAUGGGGGCAACCCUGAUCCAACCAUGCCGCGCGAGUGAAGAAGGCCUUCGGGUUGUAAAGCUCUUUCGGACGGAACGAAAUGGGCGGGAUUAAUAAUCCUGUAAGAUGACGGUACCGUAAGAAGAAGCACCGGCUAACUACGUGCCAGCAGCCGCGGUAAUACGUAGGGUGCGAGCGUUAUUCGGAAUUACUGGGCGUAAAGAGUUCGCAGGCGGUUUGGUAAGUUGGAGGUGAAAUCCCCGGGCUUAACCUGGGAAUGGCCUUCAGGACUGGGAGGCUAGAGUGCGGCAGAGGGAGGUGGAAUUCCACGUGUAGCAGUGAAAUGCGUAGAGAUCGGGAGGAAUACCAGUGGCGAAGGCGGCCUUCUGGACCGAAACUGACACUGAGAUGCGAAA
This 404-nucleotide ribosomal RNA is filed under the name uncultured bacterium. RNAcentral's name for it is "bacterial SSU rRNA". It matches the Rfam family "Bacterial small subunit ribosomal RNA", at positions 362 to 758 of the family's 1533-position model. The record is from RNAcentral.